Molecule: long non-coding RNA, 3849 nt
Organism: Chelonia mydas (Green sea turtle)
Lineage: Eukaryota; Metazoa; Chordata; Testudines; Cheloniidae
Exons: 3
Source: RefSeq, a predicted model, not a curated record
GAUGACAGUGGUUUUCCCCUCCGGAUGCUGUGUGACUGACCCAACCGCCGGGGGUCGGGGGCCCCAGCUCCGCACGGCGGCGGCCCAGACACACGAAGCCGCCCGGCAAAGGCCCGGAGUAGCAGACGGCGCGGACAGGAAAGGCCGUUUCGCUCGCGCCCCUCGGCGGCGCAGGAACCCAGAGCGCUGCGGUAGCUUAGGGGCGCCAGGCCAGGGCCUGCUGACCCAGCAAUGGCCGGUACGAGCCUGGAGGGACCCAGAGCUACCGCCCGGCUUACAUGGGCUUCACCCCAGCGCCCCACACCCAGACCCUGCAGAGCAGCCCGGCUCAGGCAAGGAGCUCUCUCCCCUCCCCCCACGAGCCCCCCAGAGCGAGCGGCCCUGGCCCAAGUGACUGACCCUGCGUGGCAUGGCCCCGCUCCAGCUCCGCACGCUGGCACUGACAGGACCCUGCCCCCAGCCGCCGCGCCGACGGAAGCCGGCCAGGGCCACCAGCAUCACACAGACCGACCCGUCGACGGCUCCGACCCGCACUUCCGGCAACACCGGUACACCCCUCCCCGCGGGGCCUGCAGGGAAACCCCGUUCGGCUUCCCAGUUCCGGGGCCGGCAGAGUGCUGCGCACGCGCAGAUUGAACAGGCGCUAGGAUUCCGUCCGAAUCCAGGCGGCGAGCAGGGAAGCUGCGUGGCUGGUCCGACGCGCGCGGGGCAGAGCCGCCAGCCAGGCGUCCUGGUGCUUGGUCUGGCCUGGACCUCAGCCGUACGCUGCAAACCCCGCUCCCCGCAGUCACGUGUGCGCUCAGCCCCAUCCCGGGUCCGGCACCCGCCAGCCACUGGCUUGGGGCGCGCUCCUGUCCUGCAGCGAGGGGGCCAGCUCCGCGCACGGCGGGGUGCCAGGGCCAGGAUCAGCUAUACAGCCCAGCCUGUGCUGUCCCGUGCAGGGCCCGGCUCCCACCGUCUCACCCCCCUGCACAACACGCCGCGUCUGAAGGGCCGAUGCACCUGCCUCGUGCGGGCACAGCUGAUUUUGAAACAAGUCUUGGACAUAAGUUCCAUCAUGACUGGAUCUCAAACUGGAUUGACAAAGCAUCUGGAUUCUGAGUGAAUAUAACUCAUCUCUGGACAGAUCAUGCCUGCACAUGGGAGACCGUAGGCCACAAAGGGUAUGUCUAAACCACAAUCUAUGCCCUGGCUUAGCAGAACUCGAGUCAGUAGACUCUGGCUUUGUUAACCUAGGGCUUGAGCAUCUACACACUCAUUUGUAACCCCAGGUUAAGAAUUGUUGAACCCUGGGUCCAACCUGGGGCUCCAGCGUCUACGCUGUAUUAUGUGGGUCCAGCCAUCCAUAUCCCAGACUUCCUAGCAGGGCAGGAAGUAUAAGGGCCAGGCUCUGCAGCUCAGUUGGGUUCAGACCAGGAAAGGAGCCAGAUGUCCUUUCCAGGGAGCUGAACUACCCGUGGAGCCCAUCGUUAGCUGCAGCAGAUGAUGACGACACUUCUAAGCCAGCCUGGAAAAAAGGCAAGCCAUGGUCCCAGGAGAUGGAGGAACCAGGAGAGGAAGCACAGAGUGAGCCGCUUGGCACAGAGAAGGGGAACCGGGAACCAGGCCCCAGUCACUGCAGAGAACAACUCAACCAGAUGCCAGAAGGAAGCAGCCAAGGAAAAUGAGACUUUGGGUCUGUUGUGUUGCCAGGAGACGAGGCAGUGACCUCAUGUUUCCCUGCUGGCCUCACGAUGCGAUCACCAGUUGCUCCAAGGGUCCUGGGCUGGGACCCGGUGGAGCAGGGCGGGCCCAGAUCUCCCUACCCCUGGCCCCGCACUCAGGGCUGGGCAAGUACUAACCCCUAGGCCAAGGGGCCUGAGCCACUGCCUGUUUGUUUCUCAGCCCUCCCUCGAGAGGCCCGAGCCAUUGCCUGCUUGUUUGCUUAGCCUAUGCCCAGAAGGCCUGAGUCCUUGUUUAUUUAAUAGUUUAGCCCUCAAGUAGGAGCCCCAAGCCACAGACUUCUUACUGGCCCAGCCCCCAUCCCGGAGACUGGAGCUACCACGUGCCUAGGGGCUCAGCUGCAAACCAGGAUGACUGGUUGCCCCACGUAAGUAUGAACACCAAUUCCCCACUGCCAAAGGGGGUGCCCUGGAAGAGAUCCAAGGAACCUUACACCACCAAACAUGACUGUCCAGGGAACAAAAAGUCAAUGUUUGGGACUGUGGAAUACUUUUGGCAGACUCCCAGAGCACUAGUCCAGAGGGGCUGCGUCUACACUGCAACGCAAUAAGGCUUGAACCCGGGGUCCCAGCUUGAUUUAGGCUCUAACGCUCCACCCCGUGGGGUCCAGGACCCUCAGUAAGAGCCCUCAAUUAGGGCAAUUUGCAUGUAGAUGGAUGGAUGUUAUGUUUCAGCCUGAGUUCGAACCAUGAGCUUAUAUUGCAAUUAGAUGUAUUUAAAAUGUAGGGCAGAGAAAGAGGCCUAAAAAGAAAAGAAACCCAGUAGUUGAAAGUUAGCAAAUUUUCAGCAGUAGUAAGUCAGAGUCUGAGAAAGCAUGCAGCUGCACUAGCUGCAAAGGCAGGACUGUAUUUAUACAGCACUCAAAGGCAUGCUGUGUGCUUUACAGACAGAAAAGAGGAAAGAUUCCUGUCCCAGAGAGUCUGCAUACUAAACAGACAACAUAUAAACUACGGACAGCAGGAUAAAAAGAUGCAAACAAGAGUGUUAUAUUCUUAGCACUUAUUUUCUUGCAUAUAAAACUAAGGGAUAAAUUAUAAACAAGUGUAACCUGAAUCAACUUGAACCUCAUUUACUCACUGUUUAAUCCUUUUCUGAAUUCCUCAUCAUCUAUUCUCCCACCCCAAGAAAAAUACAUGAGUUAACCUUAGUAUAGAGUCCCAUUUGUUUCUUCCUUCCCGGGCCUCAAGCAAAAUAAGCUUUAGGCCCAUCUUUUUCUUGUGUACCUCAUACACCAUGGUUAUUUCCUCUCCCUUGCCUCUACACAGACACUCUUCUUAACACUUUGCUGAGGUUGGUUGUGAUGAAGUCAAUGGGGUCAGGUAACGUACUGCUUCUCCUGCCAAUAGUCUGUUCCCUCCUGGGAGUCUAGGCUCAAGCCCACUCAUAGGCUGGAAGCUGAUGUCAGUCUGGGCUAUUUACAGUACUAAGUUUAGUCAAGAAGAAUAUACAUAUGCUGCUUUCCUAGCUGAAAGUAGGCAGGACCAGCCCAGUAGUUGAGCGGGAUUGGCAAAUGGACACUCGAAGAAGAGUAAUUUAACCAUAAUGCUUCAACUAAAACUGAACAUGCAGCAAAGGUAUUUAGAAAACCAUAUUGGCAGCAAUUUUUUGGUAAAUCCAAUGAUAGGCAGUAGUAACCUAAAGCAAAAUUAGAGACAGCACUAUAAAUAUGGCAUAUAUAGUUAAAACAGGACCAAACCAGAUAAAAAUCUGGACUGUUUUCAAGUCAGACACUCAAGCUUUUUUAGUAUUUUCCCACAGAUUUAAUCAGACAUCACACACAAAGUAUUAUUGUAACAGAAAUAUAUAGUCAAAAUUCAGAAAAAUUCUUCAAAGAUACAUGAAGAUGCAAAAGUAGUAACAUUCACAAUAAGAUAAAACUUAUUUUUUAUGCAUUUUGCUCUUGUAUUCAAACUUAUGUUAGUCAAUGUUUCUUCUGCAGUGAUAGAAAAAUGAGUGCACUACUGUGGCCAAAAUAAUACUGAAUCACUAAAAUUCCUACACUAAUUAGACAACGUAGACUAGUAUAUAAAAAUGUUUGCUUUGUCUUUUAAAAUGGUAUUGAGGUAAAAUCCUUGUACUUUUAAUAAAGUUCUAACUAAUUCUAAUCAAUGUGAGCAUCAGAUUUUU